AUGGAUGCCGCAAGGACCAUGAUGGCGGAGUUCAAGUCUCCAUACAACUUUUGGGCCGAAGCCAUCAACACCGCGUAUCAUGCAUCCAAUCAGCUCUACCUCCGCAAGGGCUUGAACAAGACUCCGUAUGAGAUACUCACCGGUAACAAGCCCAACCUCAAGUACUUUCGGGUGUUCGGGUGUAAGUGUUUCAUUCUCAAGAAAGGUGUUCGAUUGUCUAAAUUUCAGGCUAGAGCAUAUGAGGGCAUAUUUUUUGGUUAUGCUACAAACUCUCAUGCUUACCUUGUCCUCAAUAAAUCCACGGGACUUAUUGAGGAGACGUGUAACAUGGAGUUUGAUGAGAAUAACGGCUCCCAAGUGGAGCAAAGUGGCACUUGUGAUGUAGGUGAUGAAAUUCCUCCUCAAGCCAUAAGAAGAAUGGGUGUUGGUUUUAUCCUACCCAUUGAGGAACCCCUUGUGGCCAAAGGAGAAGGACAAUGCUCCACUCAAGUGGAGCCAUCACCAACCCAAGGCCCACACGCUUCCGAAGAACAAAGUGAAGGCCCUCAACCUCAUGAACAAGACCAAGGGCAAAAUCAUGAUCAAGACGGUGGAGACACACCAAGUGAUGCCCAAGGUCAAGUUCUCUCCUCCGAGCAAGUUCAAGAUCAAGAACAAGCUCAAGACGGCGCUCAAGAUGAUCAAGUGACCGCUCCUCAACUCACCUCCGAGGAGGAAUUGGAGCGUCGUGCCGCCAAGAUUGCUUCCAAGCUCUCCACCAAGGGUCAUCUCAUGAAGAAUGUACUUGGAAGCAUUCAAAAGGGGGUAAGCACUCGUAGACAAUUGGCAAACUAUUGUGAACGUCACGCGUUUGUCUCUUGUGUGGAACCCCAAAAGGUAUACGAAGCUCUCGAAGAUCCGGAUUGGCUCAAUGCCAUGCAUGAAGAACUCAACAACUUCGAGUACAACAAGGUGUGGAGAUUAGUGCCAAGGCCAACGGGGAACCACAAUGUCAUUGGAACGAAGUGGAUAUUCAAGAACAAGCAAGAUGCUCAUGGGACCAUCAUCCGCAACAAGGCACGAUUGGUGGCACAAUGUUGGAAAUAUGCCCUAGAGGCAAUAAUAAAUAGGUUAUUAUUAUAUUUCCUUGUUCAUGAUAAUCGUUUAUUAUCCAUGCUAGAAUUGUAUUGA
Molecule: ribosomal RNA, 1170 nt
Filed under: Triticum aestivum (bread wheat)
Lineage: Eukaryota; Viridiplantae; Streptophyta; Magnoliopsida; Poales; Poaceae
Description: partial small subunit ribosomal RNA
Source: RNAcentral